UAGGUCCAUGAGCUGAUUCCGGCUGUGAUGACCUGCAUUGUGAGCAGACAGUUGUGCCUGCGACCAGAUGUGGACAAUCACUGGGCACUCCGAGACUUUGCUGCCCGCCUGGUGGCCCAGAUCUGCAAGCAUUUUAGCACAACCACUAACAACAUCCAGUCCCGGAUCACCAAGACCUUCACCAAGAGCUGGGUGGACGAGAAGACGCCCUGGACAACUCGUUAUGGCUCCAUCGCAGGCUUGGCUGAGCUGGGACACGAUGUUAGGCUUCUGGGAGGAAGAAAUGGGGGAGGGGACGCAGUCAUGAGGUUAUAGAGGGCACUGUACCCCCAUCUGGGAGACCCUGGUGACCCUCCGGCUUUCGCUUCUCCCUUUCCCUUCCAA
This 384-nucleotide small RNA is filed under the name Pongo abelii (Sumatran orangutan). RNAcentral's name for it is "retained intron". The record is from RNAcentral. Lineage: Eukaryota; Metazoa; Chordata; Mammalia; Primates; Hominidae.